AAGUUUGAAGCAAACAAAAACCCAAUUAAAACCAUUAAUCCAUCAAUCAAAGCCCAUUGAAACGUUCUUGGGAAUUUCAAAGCCUAUGAGUAAUGGAAAGUUCAAGUAACCACAAAUAAUCACAUAGAUGUAAAAGCAUUAAAACAACUUAAACAUCCAUAUUCACAAAGCUGAUGCCUAAUUGAAAGGAAAAGGAAGUUUGAGGGGUUAAAUUGAUUAAUUUUCUCAAUUAUUUGGGCCACAGUGGAAUAAAGGGAGACUUAGGGGACAAAGUGUAAUUAUUAUGAUUCAUUUUUUUCAUGCAGACUUCAUACAAGCUACAGCUUAUCGGCAAACAGAUUUUUGUAACUGUAUUUCUGCUGCGAUUAUUUCCACAACUCUGGAAUCUUGACAGAUGCAAUUUCCUUUUCAUUUGAUCACCACCUAAACUUUCGACCCAACCAAAACUGGAAUCCUAGCAUUAUACACAUCUGGAAGCAGGAAUUUGGGAUGAACACAAACAUGGGUUACCAACCAUAUGCCAACGUGAACCACAGACUUAUUUCAAACAAUCCGAAAGCACCAGCAACAAAACAACAAAGGUAAGAGAUGAUUCCAGGCAAAGUCCUAAUUAUUCAAUCGCACGAAUGCAAGGACCUGGGACAGGGAAAUAGGGGACAUCCAACAAGUUUUUGGACACACAAAAUGCAAAAAAAUGGCUUGGUCAUCUGCUGAAACCUCGGCUCAGACUUUAGGAAAAUUAAUCAAACCAAACAUGGAUCAGAAAAAUGCGCAUAAAAAAUGAUUUCUAUCUCUGUUUUCCAUCAUGAAGGUUACAAGCGCAGCUUUGGACAACAAAAGGCAAGCAACAAAAGUCUCAAUUAGGCUCGGACUGAUCAUAACUCUCCUUGCAUUUGACAGGACUCGACACAAAACAAAAACAAAACCAAAACAGUUUGCUGCAAUUUUUCGUGCCAAACUUCCACUACUUCACCUUGACAGAUUUACAACCUCUCAAACCAAAACCCAACCUCCACUCUUCAAUGAAGUCUAAUGACCGAACAUAGGCAAGAUUAAACACAAUGCAGGCGAACAAGAAAUACAAACCAGCAAACAACUGUAAGCAUUAACAGCGACAACACUACCAAACAACAUACAAAUCAGCGCAAGACACAUUUCAGCCACGAAAGGUUAUGGAAAGGGCUAAGAAAUCAAUUUCAAUUGAUACCUGAGGGAGUCUUUGGAUCGAAAUCAAAGCAGGAGAGGAUGUGAGAGAGCCGCUGGGUUGUUCCGUCGCCCUUUCGUGUCCGCACCAGUGGAGUCACGCUGCUGAUUUGAGGACCAGAUUUAAGGGCUUUCCAAUUGUUUUCUGUGAACCGUUUCUGAACAAAAGUCCCUCCACUGACUUCAUAGUUUAUGCAGAAAUCAGAACCCAAUCAAUUCGAGCAACCAGAAAGGAGAUAACCAUGCCGUAAGAGGUGCCGAAAACCAGUCUAUUCUGCCGAAAAAUUUUUUUUUUUUUUUUUGCAGGAAGCCAUUUCUGGUUCUGAUUCCUCUUCCCCUCUCAGCCUUGCCCGACUUCCUUGUUUCUCACUCUCAGCUCCUAGCUCUCCCUGACUUUCUGGUUUCCUCCCUGAUAAACUCACGGCCCAUCUCCCUCUUUCUUCACAGCCUCCUUUUCUUUCUUUUGCCUCUCUUUCCUUUUUUGUCCUUCUCAGCCGUCAAUCCCCCUCUCCCGUAACUUCCCUUCACUCUCUUUUCGUUCCUCUAAUCACUACCCUCUUGCGGUUUCCAAUCUCUCCCCAAGCCCUCGGUUUUCCAGUCGUUCUCCUUGAUUCCUCCUCAGACUUCUAGCCGCUAUUUGCCUCAGCCUUCAGCUUCCUUAGCCGCUGUUUUUUUCUCUUCUUCUUGUUCCCCCCCC
RNAcentral lists this long non-coding RNA (1900 nucleotides) under Coffea arabica (coffee). RNAcentral describes it as "long non-coding RNA (CARA_LNC002880)". The record is from RNAcentral. Lineage: Eukaryota; Viridiplantae; Streptophyta; Magnoliopsida; Gentianales; Rubiaceae.